GCCGGAGUGGUGGAACAGGCAGACACGCAGCACUUAGGAUGCUGUGCCCCAGGGCGUGCGGGUUCGACUCCCGCCUUCGGCACCG
RNAcentral lists this transfer RNA (85 nucleotides) under Nocardioides sp. RNAcentral's name for it is "tRNA-Leu". It matches the Rfam family "tRNA". Rfam says of the family: Transfer RNA (tRNA) molecules are approximately 80 nucleotides in length. Their secondary structure includes four short double-helical elements and three loops (D, anti-codon, and T loops). Lineage: Bacteria; Bacillati; Actinomycetota; Actinomycetes; Propionibacteriales; Nocardioidaceae. The record is from RNAcentral.